RNAcentral lists this unclassified non-coding RNA (285 nucleotides) under Glomeromycetes sp. Its description in RNAcentral is "partial contains 5.8S ribosomal RNA and internal transcribed spacer 2". The stretch from base 1 to 71 matches the Rfam family "5.8S ribosomal RNA", at positions 84 to 154 of the family's 154-position model. The record is from RNAcentral. Lineage: Eukaryota; Fungi; Glomeromycota; Glomeromycetes.
GUGAAUCAUCGAAUUUUUGAACGCAAAUUGCACUCUCUGGUAUUCAGGAGAGUAUGACUGUUUGAGGGUAAGUUUAAAUAAAAAUAGGUGUGGUUGCCGUUUUUCGUGGUGACGAACUGGAUGUGGGUCGUCUUGUUUUCGGUUAAGUGAUUUAAAAUAUUGCAUGAUUAUUUAGAACGUAUUUAAAUGAUAUUAUGUAGGCUUGAGAUAUAGAAUAAUAGGUGUGGCGAUCGUCAUGAUCGGCGCCUAUAAUUUUUCAUCAAAUCGAGCUCAUUUCAGGUAAGU